RNAcentral lists this ribosomal RNA (253 nucleotides) under uncultured bacterium. Its description in RNAcentral is "partial 16S ribosomal RNA". It matches the Rfam family "Bacterial small subunit ribosomal RNA", at positions 524 to 776 of the family's 1533-position model. The record is from RNAcentral.
UACAGAGGGUGCUAGCGUUGUUCGGAAUCAUUGGGCGUAAAGGGUGCGUAGGCGGCGCGGUAAGUCGGGUGUGAAAUCUCGGAGCUUAACUCCGAAACUGCAUUCGAUACUGCCGUGCUUGAGGACUGGAGAGGAGACUGGAAUUUACGGUGUAGCGGUGAAAUGCGUAGAUAUCGUAAGGAAGACCAGUGGCGAAGGCGGGUCUCUGGACAGUUCCUGACGCUGAGGCACGAAGGUCAGGGGAGCAAACGGG